CUUCAGUCUAGCAGCCGAGACCCAGUGUUCCUCCCCAAAGGCCAGCAUUUGGCCGAGGGUAGAAGGUCCUGGACCCACCACUCACUACCAUCCGACCUCACCAUAGAUGACAUCUGAUUAGCAGUAUGUCUGAAAUGUAAAAAGUCCACUGGAGAUUCCUCUCAAGCAUUUUUCCUAAAAUGAGAGAAGGACCAGGAGGAGUUGGAACAGAGUGCAGUUUGAAGGAGUUGAAGAAGAGGAGAGUUUGGAGAAGUGCCGUGGCUGGCUAGAACACCAAGAUCCUAGGUAAAGAGACACCCUACCUGUGCAGAAAGAGAGAGCACGAAGCCUCACAAGCUAAUGAGCAGGAGAGGGAAGUAGCCCAGGGAAGGAAGCACUAGUUCAAGUGGUUUACCACUAUCCCUAGGGCCCCUGGGCUGGGACCCGGGGUAGAGGGCGGGCCCAGGUCCCUCCCUCUCCGCUACCCUUCUCUGGGUUACUAGUGGGACAGUAGAUAGCCUAGUUCAGGGGCAGGAAACUGUGCCCUGAAGCCCCACCAAGAAGAGGAAGCACGGGACCCAUCAUAAUCGUACCGGCGAUUUGCCACAGAAAUUAGAAAGUUAUUUACAGGUUAAAGCAGGCAACAUAUAUACACAAAUGAGUUAGUCUAUUGUUCCAAAAAGUGACAGAGAUGUAGUAAUCUGUCAAUGCUGAAUGUCUUUUUAGGGCUAACCCAAGCUGACCCUGGGAAUAUCUGCCUUUUAUUUCUUAGCUACUGCCCUUACGAGAGUCCAAACAGCAAAGAGAGAACAAAUCAUCAUGUCAGCUAUCUUUAUUUUCCUUUUCCAUAAUUCAAACUGAUGGGACGAGCUUUCUCUCACAUAGCACUAAUUGGUGUAAGGGCCAUUAAACCAAUCUUUGUGUUGUGAUGUUCCACAAUGGCCCGCUUAGUCUUGAGAAUUCUUCUGGGUGGGCAGGGAAACCACUUUUCCUUCUUGGGUUCACAAGUUCAGAGCAGGCGUUUGUACAAUUAUAAAGCAAAACUUACAUAUUACUUUAAUGCAUGGGAUACAGACAUUACAAAUAAGUUCAAUGCAUGCAGCAACUUACAAGUAUUUCAUAGAGUCUAAACGCUAAAACACAUUCUUACAAGUUCAUCAAUGAACAAUAUUAACAUAUAGGUGAGCUGGUCUUGUUUCCAGCUAUGAAUUUGUCAGUGUUCAGCUAACGCCUACAGACUUGGCAAGAGCUGGCACGUGGUUUACCAGCGUCACAGACAUAUAUUAAUACACUUAUUGAAGUCCAUGUUAAAUAAGAUGAACAGUAUGGUGGGGCCCUAAGCAAUUGUUUCGUCUGCUUAUGCCUACCACCACCACUGCUCAUUACUCAGCAUCAUAGCAUCUCUUGAAAGGCAAUUAAUAUGAGCAACACUGGCUUUUUCAAGAUUUCUGCUGACAAAUGUUUCCUGCAUCAAAGUGCCAAAGUAUACAGUUGGUUCUCUGGGUACUUGCCAAAACAUGAAUCAGACGCAGAAAACACAGGGCAAGAGGAAGCACCAAAGCAAAGCAUUUUAUCUCGUCUUCCAGCUGCAUUUGCAAUAAUGGUCUUAAGCUUUAUUUAGUCAAGCAACAUCAUGAAUAACUGAAAACCAAGCUACAGGACUAUGGAUUGACUCAUUCAUGCAAAUGCUGUACUAUUCAUGUGUUUUGUCUCAGAGACACAAAUUCCAAUAACCACUACUUCACUCUCACCUGAAAAUCUCCCCGGCAGAGUCCCACAUUACAUUAUUUAAACUAUGGGCAAGAAAAAAUUCGAAGGAGGCAUAAUAAAACCUUGAACAUCUCUGUGUAAAGCUCUAUUCAAUUUGAAUUUCAAAAUCCACGUGGCAUGCUUCAGUGCCAGCUUCUGUAACCAGAGUUUAAUGAACACAUUCAGAGAGUAGCAUUUAAAAGAAAAUGCCAAGUGGUAUUUCCCCUUCAAUCUCCCAAAUACAAAACUAAUAGAGCUGCUGAAAUAUGUGAGCACAUUCUAAUUUACUGUAAAUGGGUAUUUUAUUUUUAUAGGUGCUUUGGUCACAUCCUCCCCUCCACUUUUAGGCAUGAUGGGGGAUGAAAGGUGCUCUCCUGCCAGCCAAAAGUAGCUGAUAAGCAUGUCCAGAGAAGAGAAUAGAGCCCUGGGUUCCUGGGUCAUCACUUCCUCCCCUCUCACCUGAAUCCAAGAAAGUCCCUCUGCUGGAUCACUGCUCAUGUGGAACUCUGAACAUAAGAACGGCUGUACUGGGUCAAACCAAAGGUCCAUCUAGCCCAGUAUCCUGUCUUCUGACAGUGGCCAAUGCCAGGUGCUUCAGAGGGAAUGAACAGAACAGGUAAUCAUUAAGUGAUCCAUCCCAGAUCACUCAUUUCCAGCUUCUGGCAAACAGAGGCUAAGGACACCAACCCUGUCUCAUCCUGACCGAAAUAUUGGUAUAGAGGGGUAUAGCUUGUUCAGGAAGGACAGGAAGGGAGAAAAGGGAGGAGGUGUUACAUUAUACACCAAGAAUAUAUACACUUGUCCUGACAUCCAUAAGGAGGUGAGAGGCAGACGAGUUGAAAGUCUCUGGGUGAAGAUAAAAGGGGAAAAAUAGGGAUGACAUCAUGGUAGGCAUCUACUAUAGACCAUCAAAUCAGCAGGAGGAGGUGAAUGAGGGAUUUCUAGAACAAAUAACCAAAAUAUCCAAAACACAAGACCUGGUAGUAAUGGGGGACUUUAACUACCCAGACAUCUGUUGGAAAAGUAAUAUGUCAAAAUGUCCAAUAAGGUCUUGGAAUAUGGAGACAGCUUCUUGUUUCAGAAUGUGGAGGAAGUAACUGGGACGGCGGGGGGGGGGGGGGGGUUGAGGAGGCAGCCAUUUUAGACUUGAUUCUAACUAACAUUCCACUAAUCCACUUGAACCAUCCUGCCUUGUCAAGAUACAGGAGUUUCUGUACAUUUUUUGUUACUGAAUCCAAACAAAGACAAUGAAAAUUUUUGCCUAGGUAAUGAUUGUAGGAUUAGGUAUGUGGAGGAGUCGUGUAUAUUUGCUUCCUUUUUUACCUUUAAUGACUCUAAGAAGAUAUAGAAAAUAGCUCCAUUUAAUUCAUCGGAAACCAAGGUUAAAUUUAGAAAAUUAUAAUUAAUUUUUAAAAAGCUGUGAACAUUUCUAGUCUCUCUCAUGCCUUCAUCUGAUGAAAAGAACUUCUUGUUAUCCUAAAAUGUGUCAGCAGCCAAGCCAAAAUGAGGCCAUUCCUUUAGUACUUCAAAAUAUUAUAUUUAAUUAUUAUUCACAAAAUAUUGUAAAUUUACAUAUUUCUAAAUUAAACAAAGGUAUAAUAAAGUUUCAAAAUAAGGCCCCAAUCCUGCACACUUACAUGUGGAAAAACUUAAGUAAAUGUUUGUAGGAUCAAGGACUAAAAUUAUAGUUUUCUUUUCACUGUAGAUUUAAACCAAACUUACAUUCCCAGAAGCAGCUACCAGUUAAUGUUUAUGCAGUCUCUAUUCCAAAGUGUCAUUUAAAAUGAACUUUAAACAGAUAAAUAAACACAAUUUACUAGUAUAUAACCACUUGAUUGCCAAACGAGGGUCAUAUUGCAAUACUUCCAUUGAAUUUUAUAUACAUAAAGACAACAUGAAGAAUUAAAUGUUAGGUAAUUUAUUUAGCCUACGGCUGUUCUGCAUUUUUGUAAAAGCGGUAAUCUAUAUCAAAGAAUGGGAAAUUUUAAUUUACGAUGCUGACUGCUCUGCUUAGCUCGCUUUGACGUAGAUUACUGCUUUUACAAAAAUGUAGACCAGCUGGAGGGUAAACAGAUCUUCUAUGUCUUAAUGUUUCAUGUUGAUCUUUAACUAUAUGCAAGGCAGCAUAAAGCCCAAAUUUCAAGUUAGGUGCCUAACUUUAGGCACCUAAAUUGUUAUUUAGAUACCUAAAUAUAUAGAUAACUUUAGGUAUCCAAGUUUAAAACUGGGGCCCUAAAUUACUAGAGUAUGAUUCUAAUUUAGUAUGGACCACAGAAAUAAAAGAGAUGGUUAAUGAAUUAAGCAUAUACUCUAUGGCUUUAUGGCCCCAAUUCCGGAAAGCAUUCCUAUUCACAACAACAUUUAAAGAAUGUCUCUAAUUUCAACGGGAUUUAACAACACGCUUAAACUUAGGGUAUGUCUACACUACAGUAAAAGACCUACGGCAUGGCCAUGGUUGGCCUGAGUCCACUGACUUGGAUUUGCAGGGCACAGGCUGUGGGGCUAUAAAAUUGUAGUGUAAAUGUUUGGGCCUGGGCUGGAACCUGGGCUCUGAGUCCUUUUAUGGGGAAGGGUCCCAGAUCUGGGCUCCAGUCCAAGCCUCAGUGUAUAUACUGCAACUUUAUAGCCCUUCAGCCCUGAGCCCUGUGAGCCCCAGUCAGGUGACCCAGGCUCUGAUACUUGGUGCCAUGUUUUUUUUUUAAAUCUCAAUGUAGACAUACCCAAGAGACCAGCCCAUGUUGCUUCAUUGCCUUUAAUGAGUCAGAAAGGAGAGAACUAUUAGGUAGAGCAGACUUCCUAGAUCCACAUAUGGAGGGAUUAUUUUCAUAUGAAUCCUUUCCACCACAUGGAUGGGGACUCAGCCACCUUCAUGGUUAUCAUCCCUGUCCUCUCUGGGCCGUAUAGAGACCUCUUCCCGAGAUGAGGGGAGAAGUAGUUGGGGUGGGCACAUUGGGGAAACAUAUCAAUGACCUACUAAUCUUAUGGGGAUUCCUGGAAAUGAUGAAAAAACCUGGGGACAUAUUAUUUCUUCUGUAGAGCAUCCCCCUAAAAUACCAGGGACCACUGUAGCCAGGGGGAAUUCUGAUAGCACAGAGCCAAUGGAACUGUGCUGCCCGGGAGCUGGGGGGACUGGGAGCCAGAACUGAGGUGCAGGCACAAUGUCUCAGUGCAGAUGGCCAUGAUCUCCCAAGUUUGGGAAAGGUUAAUGACCUGUUCACUGGUGGGGUAAAUCCCAUCCCCCUUGAGUUCCCUUAUGUUACCUCCCCACAGUUCCCUUCUGUGGGAUCUACUAUAGGAAGGGGUUAUCUGGGCCAUGAUGAUGAUUAUUUAUUUCAAUUGCUACAGUGCCCAGAAGCCCUUGUCUGGCUCAGGAUCCCUUGGCCUAGGAACUGUACAAACAUAUAGGAAUACAAGGUCCCUGCCCUGAGGAACUUAGAAUAGUUAGAAAAUCUAUGAUUAAAUGUACUUGACAAAACAUGAACAAUAUAACCAUUGUUUCCAUUUCUACUGGGGCAUCUUACCUCAUACUGACUACAGAGAUCAACACUAUCAUUGCCUUUCUAUUUAUGCUUUUGAAUUGUUUCCUCUUAUCACUGUGUUCUCAAAAACGUAAAAUAAAAAAUUAAAGACCAGAAGAAAAGUUGUUGGAUCAUAUUAAAGAAGUUCUGUAUUAAAAUCACAAAAAUUAAAAUAAAAAUUAAAAUUAAAAUGAGUUUGAUUCCCCAUAGUUUAAA
Molecule: long non-coding RNA, 5462 nt
Organism: Chelonia mydas (Green sea turtle)
Lineage: Eukaryota; Metazoa; Chordata; Testudines; Cheloniidae
Exons: 3
Source: RefSeq, a predicted model, not a curated record